GGACGGAAGCAACGUCCCAGAGUUCUGGUAACAGUUCACUCAGUGAGCCAGAUUCUGGGGGAGAAGUGGUCCCUAACAAUGAAGGCAGCAAACCGCUUAGCAAAUCGGGAAAUGGGGACGAUGCAAUGCCCAAUCGCGAUGACAACACUAUACAAGAUGGGCAAACCUUUAUUCAGGCAAGAUGUUGGAACCUGAUUUUAAAUCCCUCAAUAUUAGUAUUUACAAACUUCCCAAAAUCAAAGGGCUUCCUUACAGGGAAAGAACGAAGAAUGAGCUCCUUGAACGUUCUGAAUGAUAUAUUGCCAGGAGCAGUAAAGCCAUAUGACAUUAUUUCUGUAGAUUAUUUGCAUCAUGAUGGUUGUUCAAUGAGAGCAAUGAUCACAUUUAGAGACCAGAACCUGGCCAAGUUUAUCUACAGAUCAAGAUAUAUAUUCUUAAAGGCCCAGAUAAAAAUUCUCAGAUUUUUUGAAAACAAGGCACCACCGAAUCCCCUUCUGGAAGCCAAGCACGCAAACCCUAGUAAGGAGAAACAACCUCCCAAAACCCGGCCUGGUCUCCAGAAACGAGAGCUUC
This is a non-coding RNA of Podarcis lilfordi (Lilford's wall lizard), 573 nucleotides long. The record is from the annotation of a GenBank genome assembly. NCBI's taxonomy places the organism in Eukaryota, Metazoa, Chordata, Lepidosauria, Squamata, Lacertidae.